CCUACGGGUGGCUGCAGUGAGGAAUAUUGGUCAAUGGACGAAAGCCUGAACCAGCCAAGUAGCGUGAAGGAUGACGGUUCUAUGGAUUGUAAACUUCUUUUAUAAAGGAAUAAAAUGAGGCACGUGUGCCUUUUUGUAUGUACUUUAUGAAUAAGGAUCGGCUAACUCCGUGCCAGCAGCCGCGGUAAUACGGAGGAUCCGAGCGUUAUCCGGAUUUAUUGGGUUUAAAGGGUGCGUAGAUGGGCUGUUAAGUCAGUGGUGAAAGUUUGCGGCUCAACCGUAAAAUUGCAAUUGAUACUGGCAGUCUUGAGUAUAGUUGAGGCAGGCGGAAUUCGUGGUGUAGCGGUGAAAUGCUUAGAUAUCACGAAGAACCCCGAUUGCGAAGGCAGCGUACUAAGCCGUGACUGACAUUGAUGCUCGAAAGCGUGGGUAUCAAACAGGAUUAGAUACCCCUGUAGUC
RNAcentral lists this ribosomal RNA (460 nucleotides) under uncultured bacterium. Its description in RNAcentral is "partial 16S ribosomal RNA". It matches the Rfam family "Bacterial small subunit ribosomal RNA", at positions 338 to 795 of the family's 1533-position model. The record is from RNAcentral.